RNAcentral lists this transfer RNA (73 nucleotides) under Camelus bactrianus (Bactrian camel). It matches the Rfam family "tRNA". From Rfam's summary of the family: Transfer RNA (tRNA) molecules are approximately 80 nucleotides in length. Their secondary structure includes four short double-helical elements and three loops (D, anti-codon, and T loops). RNAcentral also lists the same sequence under 1 other name. The record is from Rfam by way of RNAcentral. Lineage: Eukaryota; Metazoa; Chordata; Mammalia; Artiodactyla; Camelidae.
GAGGGUAUAGCUCAGUGGUAGAACGCACUCUUAGCACGCACGAGGUUCCUGGGUUCAAUCCCCAGUACCUCCA